Molecule: unclassified non-coding RNA, 345 nt
Filed under: soil metagenome
Description: partial contains 5.8S ribosomal RNA, internal transcribed spacer 2, and large subunit ribosomal RNA
Rfam family: 5.8S ribosomal RNA (bases 1-120)
Source: RNAcentral
GUUGAAGAACGCAGCGAAAUGCGAUACGUAAUGUGAAUUGCAGAAUUCAGUGAAUCAUCGAGUCUUUGAACGCACAUUGCGCCCCCUGGUAUUCCGGGGGGCAUGCCUGUCCGAGCGUCAUUGCUGCCCUCAAGCACGGCUUGUGUGUUGGGCCUCCGUCCUCCUCCCGGGGGACGGGCCCGAAAGGCAGCGGCGGCACCGCGUCCGGUCCUCGAGCGUAUGGGGCUUCGUCACCCGCUCUUGUAGGCCCGGCCGGCGCUUGCCGACACAUCAAUCUUUUUUCCAGGUUGACCUCGGAUCAGGUAGGGAUACCCGCUGAACUUAAGCAUAUCAAUAAGCGGAGGA